CACGUGGGUAACCUGCCCAAGAGAUCGGGAUAACACCUGGAAACAGAUGCUAAUACCGGAUAACAACAGAUGAUGCCUAUCAACUGUUUAAAAGAUGGUUCUGCUAUCACUCUUGGAUGGACCUGCGGUGCAUUAGCUAGUUGGUAGGGUAACGGCCUACCAAGGCGAUGAUGCAUAGCCGAGUUGAGAGACUGGUCGGCCACAUUGGGACUGAGACACGGCCCAAACUCCUACGGGAGGCAGCAGGC
Molecule: ribosomal RNA, 248 nt
Filed under: uncultured Lactobacillus sp.
Lineage: Bacteria; Bacillati; Bacillota; Bacilli; Lactobacillales; Lactobacillaceae
Description: partial 16S ribosomal RNA
Rfam family: Bacterial small subunit ribosomal RNA
Source: RNAcentral